GCCCGGUUAGCUCAGAAGGUAGAGCGCGGGACUUUUAAUCCUGAGGUCGAGGGUUCAAGUCCCUCAUCGGGCG
Daphnia pulex (common water flea) is the source of this 73-nucleotide non-coding RNA. NCBI's taxonomy places the organism in Eukaryota, Metazoa, Arthropoda, Branchiopoda, Diplostraca, Daphniidae. The record is from Rfam.